UAAAAAACCAAAUCGCAAACUGAAAUUUCACCCUAAAUAAGUGCAUUAUAUAUUUAUAUAGGUUAAAUUUUACAGUUGUUGAUUGAUUUGGGGCCCUCAUCCUAUUCAGGUAUCUGAAUCUUGAAAUUUAAGUUCUUGUUUCGGAUUUUUGGGGUUCUGGGUCUGCUCUACAAUUUUCUUCUUCGAUUUGAAGGUUGAGGGGCUUCUAUGGCUGAUUCUGAAAAGAACUUAAAGCUGGGUUUUGGUUUCUUCACCUAUCAAUGAAUCUACCUUUUUCGGCAUUGUUGUUGGGUUCGUUGUUAGGGUUUCCUCUCUACUUCAUCAUCCUUCAAUGUCAAGCAAAUUAUUUGAAAUUCCUUUAUGAUUCACACUAUCUCAAUGAGGUUUAUUGAUUUCCAUCUCAUAAGAACUGAAGAACAACUUGGUCAAGAAUAAAGUCUUCUGCACUAUAUGUCCUCUUGCAAAGCCGAGAAGAAAUACAUAUCCGUUAUCUUUGAGCAGAACUAAACAACCUCUAAAACUUCACCAUGUAGACAUUUGGGGACCUUCUAGGUAUCCAUCUAGGUUGAAUUGUAAGAUGUUCAUCACCAUUGUAGAAGAUUUUAGUAGAAUGUGUUGGGUUUUCUAAUAAAGAACAAAAUAAGAAUUCCCUAAAUUCUUUAUGUUGUUUGUACUAAUUCAGAUAUAGACACAACUAGCCUUGAAAUCCAAGAUUACAACAUAUAUAGUACUAAUUCUUUACAAGUAUACAUGUCUGAGUAUGUUGAUAUUCAAGAAACGGAUGUACCUUCAGAUAUAGAGAGCAACAGAACCAUUGACAUUAACAACAAUGAAUAUAACAACUUGAUACCUCAACAAAGAAAGUCUGAGAGAAUCAGAAAGCUACCCAAACACUAAAAAAUUUAUCAUUGUUGUGAAUGUUUGCCAAAACCGUUACGAUGAUAAGAACAAUUCAAACAACAAUGAACAAAACAAUGUUUGACAAUGUAAACAAAACAAAAGAGACACAAGGAUUUAAGGAGGUUCACCCAAUGAUGGCUACGUCCUCCGUGGUGUGUAGGUUCUGUUUAUAUUAUAACAAAAGAGUAUAAACAACACUUCUAAAUGAAGAAUUACAAUUGAGUAAGAGAUAAAAAACAAAAGGCUAUGUGUUUGGCUUAGAGGUUGUGUUUGAUGUGUUUGAUGUGUGAGUAUGAGAGCUCUAUAUAUAGUACUAGGUACAUGAAUAUCAAUAACUCACUUGAAUACAUAGUUAAUAUAGAGUAUUGAAUAAUAUGAAAUAACUCCAAGGACUUGAAAGGUCGAAAAACAGCAUCCCAUGCACAUCAGAGGAUCCGCUCGACCGAAACAGGGAGCUCGCUCGGUCGAGCGGCUCGAUCGAGUGAGCAUCAGCUACAUUCUGGAGCAUUCUGUCUGACCGUUCGACCUACCAAUAUAGCUCGCUCGGUCGAGCGGGUAGGUCGAGUGACCUCUCUGCUACCUCUGUCAGAAUUCUGAUCGAGCUACCAUAAAAUCAAGUCCUUUCUACUUCUUCAUUAAUCUUCAUUAACACCUAUAAUUCCUCAUGAAUACUCUCCACAUAAUUACUCCCUUUUGGAUUCCAUAAACCAAGAGUCAGACACAUGAAUACACACUUUAAUUGUGCAUUCAAGUCACACAUACCAUUCAUAACAAUCUCCACCUUGACUUGAGUUCAUCCAAGUCAAAACAUUGAUCAAUCCACUUCAUAAACAAAAGAAAAAAACAUACACACCUCAAAUGCCCCAAAAGGCAUUAUCUCAAGCAAGGAGCUAGACCAACCAAGUCAACACAUAAUUCAAACUUGGUUGUAGGUAAUGACUUUGUCAUCAUGUCGGCCGGAUUCUCCGUAGUGUCAAUCUUCUUCAAUAACACCCUUUUGUGCUUAACUUCAUCCCGGAUGAAAUUAUACUUAAUAUCAAUGUGUUUGGACCUUCUAUGAAAUGUAUUUUGAUUCCUAGCCAAAUGAAUUGCACUUUGACUAUCACAAUGCACACUUACCUCACACACCUUAUUGCACAUUUCACCGACAAGACCUUUAAGCCAUUUUGCCUCCUUGAAUGACUCGGCCACGGCUAUGUACUCCGCUUUGGUUGUUGAAAGAGCAACCACAUCUUGCAAAGAUGAUUGCCAACUUAUUGCCGAACCACUAAAAAUAAACACGAACCCACUUGUGGACUUUCUAUUAUAUAUAUCACCACCAUAGUCCGAGUCACAAAACCCGGUUAGCUCGCUUGAAUUUUUCCCAUACAUAAGACAAACAUUAGAAGUAUCUUUCAAGUACCUCAAUAACCAUUUUAGUGCCUCCUAAUGUCCCUUCCCUGGAUUAGACAUAUAUCUACUCACCAAACUCACCGCAUGAGCAAUGUCGGGUCUAAAAUAUACCAUGGCAUACAUAACACUACCAACGGCACUAGUGUAUGGGAUUCUUACCAUUUGCUCUUCUUCUGCCUUUGUUUGUGGACACAAUUUCUUGGACAAUUUGAAAUGAGAAGCAAGAGGAGUAGAUACACCUUUAGCAUCAUCCAUAGAGAAACGUUGCACAACUUUCUCAAUAUACUUUCUUUGACUAAGGUAUAGGAUAUCCUUAGCCUGAUCUCUCAAAAUUUCCAUCCCAAGAAUCUUCUUGGCUUCACCAAGAUCUUUCAUGUCAAAUUCACUUGAAAGUAACUCUUUCAAGUUCUCCACCUUAAACAAAGAACUACAUGCUACUAGCAUGUCAUCAACAUAUAAGAGCAAAUAUAACAAAGAACCAUCUUCAAAUUUCUUAAGAUAGACACAACUAUCAUAAAAACUUCUAAUAAAAUCAAGUGAGAUCAUAAAGGAAUCAAACCUUUUGUACCAUUGCCUUGGAGAUUGCUUCAACCCAUACAAUGACCUCUUUAAUCUACAUACAUGAUUUUCCUUACCGGCUACCUCAAAACCUUCCGGUUGCUUCAUAAAGAUCUUCUUUUCAAGCUCACCGUGAAGAAACGCCGUUUUUACAUCCAAUUGAUGUAACUCCAAAUCCUCCAUUGCCACCAAAGCAAGUAAUGCCCUUAUAGAAGAGUGUUUCACCACCGGUGAGAAAACUUCAUGAAAAUCAACACCCUCAAUUUGAGAGUAUCCCUUUGCAACUACCCUUGCUUUGUAGAUGGGAGGAAUGUCACUAGAAGGACCCUCCUUCCUCUUGAAUAUCCACUUGCACCCAAUAAUUUUCUUUUUCUUUGGUGCUUCAACGAUAUUCCAAGUUUCAUUAUUUGCAAGAGACUCCAUCUCUUACUUCAUAGCUAUCAACCACUUGCUUGAGUCUUUUAAGACCAUAGCCUCCUUGUACGUACUCGGUUCAUGUAACCCUUCGACUUUGCUAGUAAUGUUGAGAGCAUAGGCAACAUAAUCACAUUCCUCAAUAUACCUCCUUGGAGCCACGAUCUUCCUUCUUUGUCUAGUUGUGGACAAAGAUGGAGAUCUUUGUUGAUCAUCAUCAUCAAUUUUAUCAUCUUUAAUAUUGGGAGGUUGACCCUCCGCUUGUGCAUCAUCAUUUACAUUAUUAUCAGUGGACUUUUCUAUACUAGAUACAAGCAUGCUAUUUUCAUCAAAAACAACAUCUCUAGAAACAAUUACUCUUUUUGAUUCAUUACACCACACCCUAUACCCCUUUACACCCACUCCAUAUCCCACAAAAAUACAUUUUCUAGCCCUAGGUUCUAACUUACCAUCAUUUACAUGAAUAUAAGCUGGACAACCAAAGAUUCUAAGACUAGAAUAAUUUACCGGAGUGUUGUACCACACUUCUUGUGGCGACUUGAAUUUCAAGGCGGUAUAAGGUGAGCGGUUGAUCAAAUAACAUGCCGUAGCCACCGCUUCGGCCCAAAAUUGCUUCCCCAAACUUGCUUGAUUUAGCAUACUCCUAGCCCUCUCCAAUAAUGUUUUAUUCAUCCUCUCUGCAACACCAUUUUGUUGAGGACGUCUUGCACAAGUUCUAUGUCUGACAAUGCCUUCAUUAGAACAAUAUUUAAGAAAUUUAUUAUCAAUAAAUUCAAGACCAUUAUCGGUUCUUAAAGUCUUGAUGCUCCUACCGAUCUUCUUUUCAAUCAUCUUAUUCCAUUCCAAGAAGACAUCAAAAACUUCAUUCUUAUGUUUUAUAAAAUAACACCAAACUUUCCUAGAUAAAUCAUCAAUAAAGGUCAACAUGUAAUUACAACCACUAAGGGAGGGCUUUCGUUAAGGCCCCCACAAAUCGGAAUGAAUGUAGUCUAAAAUUCCCUUAGUGUUGUGAAUGGCGGGUUUGAAACUAACUCUUUUGUGUUUCCCAUAAACACAAUGUUCACAAAACCCAAGGUUCCCAAAUUUCUUGCCAUCAAAUAAACCUUGUUUAGAGAGUUCAAAAAUACCUCUUUCUCCCAUGUAACCAAGUUUCAAAUGCCAAAUUUGGUGUCAUGAUCGGACAUUGUGCUUGUGGAAACAUUUGCCGAGCCUAGGAUGGUUGAACCUUGAAGAGCAUACAAACUCCCAUUCAACUUACCCUUCAUCACAACUAGUGAGCCUCUAGCAACCUUCAUAACUCCACCUUCACAUGUGAUUCUACACCCGAUCUUGUCAAGAGUACCCAAAGAUAAAUUCUUUUUCAAUCCCGGAACAUACCUCACAUCGGUUAAGGUCCUCACCAUUCCAUCAAACAUCUUCACUUUAAUGCUCCCAAUCCCAACAACCUUACAUAUUGUGUUGUUCCCCAUGGUAACAUUUCCCCCAUCAAUACUUUCAAAUGUAUGGAAGAAAGUUUUGUUGGGAGUCAUGUGGAAUGUGCACCCCGAGUCAAGAAUCCACUCAUCACUAUCUUUGUACUCAUGUGUGGCAACUAAUACAUCACCAUCAUCACUAUCAUUCACAUAACUAGCAUUUGCAUUACUAGUUCCUUCCCUAGCCUCCUCAUUUUUCUUUUUCAACUUCCAACAAUCUUUUUUGAUGUGGCCCUUAAGCUUGCAAUAGUUAAAAGUUUUAUUUUUAUUUGGCCUACUAGACUUGGACCUCCCUUUACCCUUGUUUCCACUCCCACUAGUGGAACCUUUCUCUUAUGACCUCCCUCUCACAAACAACCCAUCACUAGCAUUGCUUUGUGAUUUUUGUGACAAUUGUGAAUCAAUGAGAUCCCUUUGUGUCAAAGCAUUUUCACAUCAUCACUACUCAAAUUAUCUCUACCAUAAGGUAGAGUUUCUCUAAAGUUUUUGUAAGAAGGGGGUAGAGAACAUAAGAGGUAAAUUGCCAAGUCUUCAUCAUCAAGCUUAACAUCAAUAUUUUGUAAAUCCAUAACAAUGGAAUAAAAUUCGUUUAAGUGAGGUUUCAAAGAUUUACCUUCCUCCAAGCGUAGAUCAUAGAGUCUACUUUUCAAAAGUAGUCUAUUAGUAACACUCUUGGCCAUAUAGAGUGAUUCCAAUUUCUCCCAUAUCUCCUUGGUUGUUGUUUCUUUAACAACCUCUCUUAAUACUUCGUUGGAAAGGCAUAGUUGAAUUGCCGACAACGCCUUUGAGUCUAUCUCUUCCCACCUUAAUGCGGUCAUUCCUUCCGGCAUCUUAUCUACACCAUCAAUGGCCUUAUGCACACCAUUUUGGAAUAAAAUGGCUCUCAUUUUGACUUGCCAUAAGCCAAAAUUUACAUUUCUAUCAAACUUCUCUAUGUCAAGCUUCAUUGUAGUCAUGAUUCUCAAAUAACAACUUCUUAAGACACCGUAAAAUCAACCUGGCUCUGAUACCAAUUGUGAAUGUUUGCCAAAACAAUGAUAAGAACAAUUCAAACAACAAUGAACAUAACAAUGUUUGACAAUGUAAACAAAACAAAAGAGACACAAGGAUUUAAGGAGGUUCACCCAAUGAUGGCUACGUCCUCCGUGGUGUGUAGUUUCUGUUUAUAUUAUAUCAAAAGAGUAUAAACAACACUUCUAAAUGAAGAAUUACAAUUGAGUAAGAGAUAAAAAACAAAAGGCUAUGUGUUUGGCUUAGAGGUUGUGUUUGAUGUGUUUGAUAUGUGAGUAUGAGAGCUCUAUAUAUAGUACUAGGUACAUGAAUAUCAAUAGCUCACUUGAAUGCAUAGUUAAUAUGAAAUAACUCCAAGGACUUUAUAGGUCGAAAAACAGCAUCCCAUGCACAUCAGAGGAUACGCUCGACCGAAACAGGGAGCUCGCUCGGUCGAGCGGCUCGAUCGAGCGAGCAUCAACUACAUUCUGGAGCAUUCUGUCUGACCGCUCGACCUACCAAUAUGGCUCGCUCGGUCCAGCGGGUAGGUCGAGCGACCUCUCUGCUACCUCUGUCAGAAUUCUAAUCGAGCUACCAUAAAAUCAAGUCCUUUCUACUUCUUCAUUAACACCCAUAAUUCCUCAUGAAUACUCUCUACAUAAUUACAACCUUUUGGAUUCCAUAAACCAAGAGUCAGACACAUGAAUACACACUUUAAUUGUACACCCAAGUCACACAUACCAUUCAUAACAAUUGUAAAAUCACUAAGCAUUGGUGUGGUCUUGUGCAACACAAGGACGGACAUACAUAAUAAUCACAAUGUCACAACACAAGAGCCUGAAUUUUUUGAACCAAGUUCUUUUAAGCAAGCUAUCACUAUCCCUCACUAGAAGGAGGCAAUCGACAAAGAAAUACAAGCCCUAGAAAACAACAAAACUUGGGACAUAGUGCCUCUACCUAUAGGCAAAAAGGCUAUAGGGUGCAAAGGAUGAAGUAUACAUGCAUUUACCUCAAGGAUAUUCCAGCAACAAAAACAAAGUUAGCAAGCUCAAAACAUCUUUGUAUGGCUUAAAGCAAGCCUCAAGACAAUGGUUUGCAAAACUUAUGCAGAAGUUAAUAAAACAAGAAUAUCACCAACCAUCCUAGCAAUUUAUGUAGAUGACAUAACUUUGACUGGAAAUAACAAACAAGAAAUCCAAGACAUGAAAACACAUCUUAACAAUGUGUUUAGCAUUAAGGAUUUAGGAAAACUACAUUUCUUCCUUGGCAUGGAAGUACAUUACCUACAAGAUGGCAUAGUCCUCUCAACACAAAUUUACAAGGGAUUUACUAAAAGAUUAUAACCAAGAUAGCAACAGAAAAGCAUUGACACCUCUCCCCAUCCAUCUCAAACUUUCUGCCUUAGAAGGUGACUUAUUAGAAGAUCCAACUCCUUACAGGAGCAUAGUAGGAAAACUUAAUUUCUUAACAAACACUAGACCUAAUUUAUCAUAUGCCAUAAAGACCUUGAGCCAAUUCAUGCAGAAACCAAGAAGCUCUCAUCGGCUGGCCCUUCAGCACAUAUUGUUAUUUGUAAACCACACAUGUGGCCAAGGCAUUUUCCUUAAAGCAUCAAAUAAGAUUACCAUCCAAGCUUUUUCAGAUAGUGACCGGGGUUCAUGCAUUGAUACAAGAGCGUCUAUCAUUGACUAUAUUAUCAUGUUUGGGCAGUCACCUAAACAAGGUACUGUGUCUAGGUCUAGCUCUGAAGCAGAAUACAGGACAAUGGCAUCACCGCUGCUGAGAUUACUUGGAUUGUUAGAUUACUUGGAUUGUUAGAUUACUUGAAGAACCGAGCCUAACAAACCUCAGGCCAAUCACACUUCAUUGUGAUAACUAAUCUGUAAUGCACAUAGCCAAAAAUCCUAUCUUUUGUGACAGAUUUAAGAAUAUUGAGGUGGACUGCCACUUCACAAGAGACAGAAUCUUAGAAGGUUUGAUUCAGCUCUCAUAUUUUCCAAUAAGACACCAACUAACUGAUGUUCUAACAAAAAUCCUUCCCUCUUUACAAUUUAAUACUCUCCUUGACAAACUAGGAAUGCAAGCCCUCCAUUCCAAUUUGAGUGAGGAUGAUAAGAAUAGCUAAAAUCUUGUACACAGCAUGAGGUGUCAUUGGUCCAAGUGUUGUCCUCAGUCCAUGUGGUGCCUAGAACAGCUCUACUUCAAAUCUAAGCCUCCAGCACAAGUGGGAUCAACUACCUCAAUAUAGGACAUGUGGGUGCAGCUGGUAUUUGACAAACAAAGAGCACGUGUCUGUAGUAUUGUCCUUAGGUGUUAGUUUGAAAGAAUCAAGAUUAUAGAAGGCUAUCAGUAGGUUGUUAGUAGGGUGCAAUAAAGUUAACAGUUUCUUCAGUGUACCUGCAAUUAUCACCCUUUUAACUCAUUAACCCUUCCUAGCUUCAUUAUCUUUUCUUCUUACAUCCAUCACUUAAAUGAAUAGUGUAGAUAAGCUUCUCGUAUUUUGUACGCUCAUCUUUAUGUUAUUGUUUUGACAUUUAAAGGGUCCUUCCUGCGUUUUUUUUAAUUUCACUAGCGUAGUUUUACUUGAAUUUAUUUACUUGAAUUUAUUGAUUUUACCUGAAUAUGUUUUAAGUUCUUUGUCUCAUUUUUAAUUUGUAUUUUACAAAUUAUUUUGGUAAUUUAUUUGUACUCUUCCUCAUCAUUUGGAUCCAACACUUGUAAUUCGAGUUUCACAUUUUUCAGGAUAAAUUCUUUUUCUCCCUCGUCGAACACCGAUCUUUUGCACAUGAUUUUGUAGUAUUGAAUUUUGGUUGGCUUUAGUUUUUCUUUGCGCCGCCCUUCUAUUCUACGGCUUAAAUUGUUGAUUAGAUUUUGCUUGUUACUUUUAUGACUUAGUUGAGUAUUGAAAAUUUUGCUUAAUUCCUAGGAUUGUAGUUGGCAUUGAGUAUGAGAUUUAAUGUUUUUAGGGGUUUUUUAGGGGUUUUUUUUAUUCAGAUUUGGCUAUAGUUUUUGUUUAGUGCGUUCUUAUUGAUUUUUGAAUUUGCUUUAUUGUUUAGUGUCAUUGUUUUGGUUACUGCAUUUAAUUUCAUUGGAUUUUUUGUGCUAAUAAAUAAAUAUGCUUAAUUAGCUUUGAUUUUCCUGUUUGUUUUGAGAUUUAAUUGGUUUGUUGAUUGAUUUA
This is a long non-coding RNA of Amaranthus tricolor (Joseph's coat), 8904 nucleotides long. RefSeq lists it as uncharacterized. The transcript has 3 exons. The record is from RefSeq and is a predicted model, not a curated record. NCBI's taxonomy places the organism in Eukaryota, Viridiplantae, Streptophyta, Magnoliopsida, Caryophyllales, Amaranthaceae.